GACGAACCGUGCGAACGUUGUUCGGAAUCACUGGGCUUAAAGGGCGCGUAGGCGGCUUGCCAAGUCCGGGGUGAAAGCCUCCAGCUCAACUGGAGAAGUGGCUUGGAUACUGGCGAGCUCGAGCGAGGUAGGGGCGGGUGGAACUUCCGGUGGAGCGGUGAAAUGCGUUGAUAUCGGAAGGAACGCCGGUGGCGAAAGCGACCCGCUGGACCUCUUCUGACGCUGAGGCGCGAAAGCUAGGGGAGCGAACGGG
Molecule: ribosomal RNA, 253 nt
Filed under: uncultured bacterium
Lineage: Bacteria
Description: partial 16S ribosomal RNA
Rfam family: Bacterial small subunit ribosomal RNA
Source: RNAcentral